This 371-nucleotide ribosomal RNA is filed under the name uncultured bacterium. RNAcentral describes it as "bacterial SSU rRNA". It matches the Rfam family "Bacterial small subunit ribosomal RNA", at positions 527 to 898 of the family's 1533-position model. The record is from RNAcentral.
GAAGGGGGCUAGCGUUGUUCGGAAUUACUGGGCGUAAAGCGAGUGUAGGUGGUUGUCAUAGUCAGGUGUGAAAGCCUUGAGCUCAACUCAAGAAAUGCACUUGAUACUGGGCGACUAGAGGACCGGAGAGGAUAGUGGAAUUCCCAGUGUAGUGGUGAAAUACGUAGAGAUUGGGAAGAACACCAGUGGCGAAGGCGGCUAUCUGGACGGUUUCUGACACUAAGACUCGAAAGCGUGGGGAGCAAACAGGAUUAGAUACCCUGGUAGUCCACGCCGUAAACGAUGGGUGCUAGACGUUGGCGAGCUUGCUCGUCAGUGUCGCAGCUAACGCGUUAAGCACCCCGCCUGGGGAGUACGGCCGCAAGGUUGAA